UAACGCGUAAAGAACUUGCCUCACAGCUAGGGACAACAUUUAGAAAUGAAUGCUAAUACCUGAUAUUAUGAUUUUAAGGCAUCUUAGAAUUAUGAAAGCUAUAAGCACUGUGAGAGAACUUUGCGUCCCAUUAGCUAGUUGGAGAGGUAACAGCUCACCAAGGCGAUGAUGGGUAGCCGGCCUGAGAGGGUGAACGGCCACAAGGGGACUGAGACACGGCCCUU
Molecule: ribosomal RNA, 224 nt
Filed under: uncultured bacterium
Lineage: Bacteria
Description: partial 16S ribosomal RNA
Rfam family: Bacterial small subunit ribosomal RNA
Source: RNAcentral